AGAGCUUGAGUGCAGAAGAGGAAAGUGGAAUUCCAUGUGUAGCGGGGAAAUGCGCAGAGAUAUGGAGGAACACCAGUGGCGAAGGCGACUUUCUGGUCUGUAACUGACGCUGAUGUGCGAAAGCGUGGGGAUCAAACAGGAUUAGAUACCCUGGUAGUCCACGCCGUAAACGAUGAGUGCUAAGUGUUAGGGGGUUUCCGCCCCUUAGUGCUGCAGCUAACGCAUUAAGCACUCCGCCUGGGGAGUACGACCGCAAGGUUGAAACUCAAAGGAAUUGACGGGGACCCG
This 288-nucleotide ribosomal RNA is filed under the name Staphylococcus haemolyticus. RNAcentral's name for it is "partial 16S ribosomal RNA". It matches the Rfam family "Bacterial small subunit ribosomal RNA", at positions 637 to 923 of the family's 1533-position model. Lineage: Bacteria; Bacillati; Bacillota; Bacilli; Caryophanales; Staphylococcaceae. The record is from RNAcentral.